GUCUAUACAGAUAGGCCCCUUAAAAAGAAUAGAAAGACCAAACAACCCAGGAGCAAUCCUUUGCCAAACUGCGACACAAACGCAUAGCACUCCUGGUUCCGACAUCUGUUUGCGAAAAAAAAAGUCACCUCCGUUCCCCUUUCUCCUUGCUCUCUCCUGAGGCUACUGCCCCCGAGUCUGCUCCUCAAUUUCGUCCGCCGGAUCUGCCAAUCGACACAGGCGAGCACAAAAUCGUACUCUCUGUAGCUUGCACCGCAGAUUCGUUCCCGCCAACAUGGCCUUCUGCCUUUACUCGCAACCUAUCUGCCCCUGUAUGCCCUGCGCCUGUUGCUCAGAGGAAAGCAAUCACACAUCGGUGGCGGCGGCAGGUGGGCAGAAGCUGAGGGGCAGCGGAGCCAGAACUGGAGCUCGAUCUACCACCCUGGCAUCCUCAGUGAUGGUAACUGUGGCCAUCCCUCGGCCAUGGAGUCGCUGACUGCCUGACUCCCUAGGCGCAGUGGCUGCAGCAGGCUUGCACUUGCAGGGACCGAGAAAGACGCAACAAAAUGGCAGCCUACUGAAUUUGCUGACAGAGAAGAUGAAGUCAGACCUCCUUAGCUGGACACUGCUGCCUCCAACUUAUGGCGGGUGUCGGAGGCUGUGUAGUGACGCACUAAGGUGUUGCCCAUGGCCAAGUCGACGCGGAUGCCGGUGUGGGAUAUCUCCCCAUGGUGCCCUCCAUGAGUGUGAGAUUGCCGGCGGCACUGUGCGAAGAGCCCCGCAUGGGGCCCAGGUCCUCGCCGAAGUGGCUGAGGUGCACGUACAUCAGGAGGAGGCAGGGAUCAUAGUGGCGCACAGCGACCGCUCCAUCGGCGACGAUGCACACACCCUUUCCCCGCUUAAAUCAACCAGAAAAUGCCUUGAAGAGGAGGGCGCCGAGGCCUCCACCGCGCCGCCAUCUGCCUAGGGAAGGAGAGGAUAGCCCCGAGCCCUUCCUCCACGGCGGCUGUAGAGGAAGACGCCGAGCGCCCCGUUGUACCGCCAUCUGCCUUGGGAAGAAGAGGAGAACCCCGAGCUCAUCCUCCACAGCGGCUCAAGAGGAGGGUGCCGAGGUCCCCACCACGCCGACAUCUGCCUUGGGAAGGAGAGGAGAGCCUCAAGCUCUUCCUCCACGAUGGUUGAAGAGGAGGGCACCAGAUCCCCACCGCGCCGCCAUCUGCCCCGGGAAAGAGAGGAGAGCCCUGAGCUCUUCCUCCACGCCGUCGGCCGCCUCGGUAGGUGGCAUGGUGGGCAGAGAGGGGAGAAGAGGACGACGACAAUAGGGAAGGAUGUGAGGAAGAAAAUUGGGGCAAAACAACCCCUGGAAUUGUUCGAUGGUGGGGAUCGUGGGGCGCCGCUUUGACCGAAUCAACCAGAAGGCAAGGAGUCAUCCAUGAAAAGAGGAAGGAGAGAGGCAUUAACCGGUAGCCGGUUUCCUAUCCAUCGAAGGAGAAAAAAAGAUGCAAAAAGAUUACCUGAGUGGAUCACGGAAGGGGCAAAAUAAAUAGGUACGUGUCAACCAACAACGAAAGGAAUGAGUGGAUAAAUAGCACAUCUACAGUGCCUCAGUUGUGCAGAUUGCGUGAAAUCAGCUGCCCUUUAUAUAGUGUAUAAUUUGCUAUUCAUAAUGAUUUAACAAGCAAAUGAAUCUGAAUCCAACUCUGGAUGAUGAUGUUCUGUACUUGGCUUUACUUUAAAUGAUGCUAAGUGUGAUGUGACCUCAGUAGCUUUGGUACUGAUUGGUUGCUCACCUGUUUGGUUGGAUCUUGUGGGCUACUCAACUUUGCUUGCAUGUUUGGGGAUCAUACUAACUAUGAAUGCCAAUAUGCUUGCCUGUGAUGAAAUCUAGGGUUUUACUGAUGGUUAUGUGCCUAGGAUUUUCUGUGUAGUCUUUACUAGCUGCUAAGUAUUGCAAGACAUCCACUGGUGCUAUCUGUGCAUAAGAUCUUGCUUCUGUGCACAAGAUCUGUAUCUGGAUGGUUUCUAUUUUAGUGGCUUUUUAGACUAGCAGUGAUCCUUGGUGAAAACCAAGUGAUGAUUCACCCUGUUGAGCAUCUGCUCAACCCCAUGACUGUGUCAUGCAUGAUUUAUGGAUUAGAUCCAUUGGAUCUUUUCCAGGAACUUAGUAUACCUUGUUCCAGCUCCUAGAAUGAGAUUUUGUGUUGAUGCAGACUUGUGGUUUGUUCACAGCCCUUCACCUCCAGUCCUGGUUGAUCUUCUAGGUCACCAUGAUUUCUGGUGGCUUAAGUGGUUGUGUGGGUUGGUUCUGUUCUUGAGCAAGAACUGGAUGAACUAUGUGUUGCUUUAGCUUCACCCUUACCUGGUGAAUUUCUUAUCUGGUCGACUACUACAGUUUCUAGGGUUUGUGCUGCUUUUAUAUGAGCCCUACUUCUUCCCUGGCAUUGACACACAAGCCUGGCUUGCUUUGUGACUAAGCUGAUGCAUGGCCUUGCUGUGGCUUGCCUAGCUCAAGCUCUCAUAUGCUGAAACUUGAGCCCUCUGUGGUGCUCAAUCUUGGUCUACUUGAUCCUAUCUUGUGUUGUCCAUGCUUUGGACAAGCACAAGUGUGCAGUGAAAGUGUACUCUGUCCAAACUGAAUUUCUGUUAUGUAUUCACUCUGUCCAAACUGAAUUUCUAACACUUAACAUUCUGGCUAGCACUUUUGAUUCUGUUUUGCAGGUUUGAAGUUGAAUAUGACCAGAAGAUAUUCUUCAAGGCAUUUAGUCUAGGUUUUAGUUUAGGACAAUCUUGUAAUUUUCCUUUUUAUUUCUGUUUAUUAUUCAUCAAUUCUUGUAUUAAGAAUAUUGUAAAGACAAUGUAUUCUGUGUUGUUUAUCAAUAAAGCUCAAGUUUUUGUUUA
Lolium perenne is the source of this 2877-nucleotide long non-coding RNA. RefSeq lists it as uncharacterized. The record is from RefSeq and is a predicted model, not a curated record. NCBI's taxonomy places the organism in Eukaryota, Viridiplantae, Streptophyta, Magnoliopsida, Poales, Poaceae.